AACGAACGCUGGCGGCAUGCCUAACACAUGCAAGUCGAACGAGAACUUCGGGUCUAGUGGCGCACGGGUGCGUAACGCGUGGGAACCUGCCCUUAGGUUCGGAAUAACUCCCCGAAAGGGGUGCUAAUACCGGAUAAUGUCUUCGGACCAAAGAUUUAUCGCCUUUGGAUGGGCCCGCGUUGGAUUAGCUAGUUGGUAGGGUAAAAGCCUACCAAGGCGACGAUCCAUAGCUGGUCUGAGAGGAUGAUCAGCCACACUGGGACUGAGACACGGCCCAGACUCCUACGGGAGGCAGCAGAGGGGAAUAUUGGACAAUGGGCGAAAGCCUGAUCCAGCAAUGCCGGGUGAGUGAUGAAGGCCUUAGGGUUGUAAAGCUCUUUUACCCGGGAUGAUAAUGACAGUACCGGGAGAAUAAGCUCCGGCUAACUCCGUG
RNAcentral lists this ribosomal RNA (433 nucleotides) under uncultured bacterium. Its description in RNAcentral is "partial 16S ribosomal RNA". It matches the Rfam family "Bacterial small subunit ribosomal RNA", at positions 29 to 507 of the family's 1533-position model. The record is from RNAcentral.